This 207-nucleotide ribosomal RNA is filed under the name Clostridioides difficile. RNAcentral describes it as "partial 23S ribosomal RNA". It matches the Rfam family "Bacterial large subunit ribosomal RNA", at positions 1244 to 1451 of the family's 2925-position model. The record is from RNAcentral. Lineage: Bacteria; Bacillati; Bacillota; Clostridia; Peptostreptococcales; Peptostreptococcaceae.
GACGGGUUGAAGCAUGACCGUAAGGACAUGUGGACAGUAUGGGAGUGAGAAUGUUGGCAUGAGUAGCGAGAUGUGGGUGGGAAUCCCACAGGCCGUAAACCCAAGGUUUCCAGGGGAAGGUUCGUCCGCCCUGGGUUAGUCGGGACCUAAGCUGAGGCCGAAAGGCGUAGGUGAUGGACAACAGGUUGAUAUUCCUGUACUACCGAU